UACGAAGGGGGCUAGCGUUGCUCGGAAUUACUGGGCGUAAAGCGCACGUAGGCGGUUUCUUAAGUCGGGGGUGAAAUCCUGGAGCUCAACUCCAGAACUGCCUUCGAUACUGGGAAACUUGAGUCCGGGAGAGGUGAGUGGAACUGCGAGUGUAGAGGUGAAAUUCGUAGAUAUUCGCAAGAACACCAGUGGCGAAGGCGGCUCACUGGCCCGAUACUGACGCUGAGGCACGAAAGCGUGGGGAGCGAACAGG
RNAcentral lists this ribosomal RNA (253 nucleotides) under uncultured bacterium. RNAcentral's name for it is "partial 16S ribosomal RNA". It matches the Rfam family "Bacterial small subunit ribosomal RNA", at positions 524 to 776 of the family's 1533-position model. The record is from RNAcentral.